This 253-nucleotide ribosomal RNA is filed under the name uncultured bacterium. RNAcentral describes it as "partial 16S ribosomal RNA". It matches the Rfam family "Bacterial small subunit ribosomal RNA", at positions 524 to 776 of the family's 1533-position model. The record is from RNAcentral.
UACAGAGGUCUCAAGCGUUGUUCGGAUUCAUUGGGCGUAACGGGUGCGUAGGCGGCGCGGUAAGUCGGGUGUGAAAUCUUGGAGCUUAACUCCGAAACUGCAUUCGAUACUGCCGUGCUUGAGGACUGGAGAGGAGACUGGAAUUUACGGUGUAGCGGUGAAAUGCGUAGAUAUCGGGAGGAACACCGGUGGCGAAGGCGGUUCUCUGGGCCUUACCUGACGCUGAGGAGCGAAAGCGUGGGGAGCGAACAGG